CACGGUGACGUUGGACCUGUUGGCCCCUUGACAUGGGACAUCCGGAUGAAAAUUGCAGUCGGAAUAGCUAAAGGGCUAGCCUAUCUGCAUGAAGGUCUAGAACCAAAAAAGUAGUACAUCGGGAUGUAAAAGCUAGCAAUAUUCUUCUGGACAAAGGAUGGAAUCCCAAGAUAUCAGAUUUCGGCCUCGCCAAACUCUUGGGGUCUGAGGCUAGCCACGUGACUACGCGUGUAAUGGGCACUUUUUGGUUACGUUUCUCCUGAGUAUGCAAGCACGGGCAUGCUUAAUGAAUGGAGUGAUGUAUACAGUUUCGGGGUUUUACUGAUGGAGAUAGUAACGGGAAGGACUCCGAUUGACUAUUCCAGACCAGCAGCAGAGGUGAAUAUUUUGCUCACUAGGAUAACUUUCUGUAAUGACCGAUAAACCUUACUCGACAUCCUGAGGUUUCUGUUGCAUGUUCGUCAGA
This is a long non-coding RNA of Eucalyptus grandis, 466 nucleotides long. RefSeq lists it as uncharacterized. Lineage: Eukaryota; Viridiplantae; Streptophyta; Magnoliopsida; Myrtales; Myrtaceae. The record is from RefSeq and is a predicted model, not a curated record. The transcript is spliced from 3 exons.